UACGAAGGGGGCUAGCGUUGCUCGGAAUCACUGGGCGUAAAGGGUGCGUAGGCGGGUUUUUAAGUCAGGGGUGAAAUCCUGGAGCUCAACUCCAGAACUGCCUUUGAUACUGAAGAUCUUGAGUCCGGGAGAGGUGAGUGGAACUGCGAGUGUAGAGGUGAAAUUCGUAGAUAUUCGCAAGAACACCAGUGGCGAAGGCGGCUCACUGGCCCGGUACUGACGCUGAGGCACGAAAGCGUGGAGAGCAAACAGG
RNAcentral lists this ribosomal RNA (253 nucleotides) under uncultured bacterium. Its description in RNAcentral is "partial 16S ribosomal RNA". It matches the Rfam family "Bacterial small subunit ribosomal RNA", at positions 524 to 776 of the family's 1533-position model. The record is from RNAcentral.